This is a long non-coding RNA of Pan troglodytes (chimpanzee), 738 nucleotides long. RefSeq lists it as uncharacterized. Lineage: Eukaryota; Metazoa; Chordata; Mammalia; Primates; Hominidae. The record is from RefSeq and is a predicted model, not a curated record. The transcript has 3 exons.
AUUCCCGCCAUUUACAGCCGAGCGAACGAGGGCGUGUCACAACUCAUUCGGUCCCGCUGCCUAGAUGGGCGAGCCAACCAGAAGCGUGCUGCUGCCCUUUUCACUCCCACUAUGCGGCAGGUUCCAGGUUCUUGUUCUGUGACCAGAAGAAUGAGGAGACAAGUUGUGAUGUUCCCCAAGCUGAUCUCAAAUACUCGGCCUCAAGUUAUCCCCCCACCUCAGCCUCCCAGGUUGAGAUUGCAGGUACACACCAGCACGUCUGUCUUUGUGAACCUAUUGGAAGAAUCAUAUGGCUAGAGUGCAAUGGCGCCGUCUCGACUCACUGCAACCUCAGACUCCAGAGUUCAAAUGAUUCUUCUGCCUCAGCCUCCUGAGUAGCUGAGACUACAGCUGCACAUCACCACAACCCAGCUAAUUUUUGUAUUUUUAGUAGAGACAGGGCUUCACUAUGUUGGCCAGGCUAGUCUUGAACUCCUGACUUCAUGAUUCUCCCACCUCAGCCUCCCAAAGUGCUGGGAUUACAGGAGUGAACCACAGCGCCUGGCUGAAAUUAUUUUUUAUAAUUAAAUUUAAACCUAAUCUUGACAUAUGUUUCAACUCUAAUGUUGUAAGGAAUCAUAAACAUCUUUCUGUAAACCUACAUCCCUCAUGAACUGGGUAUACAAGUUUUGAUCCCUUCUAACUUAGAAACACAUGCACACUAGCAUUAAAAUAAAGGACCCUGGUCUUUGUGUGUUC